AGUGAACGCUGGCGGUAGGCCUAACACAUGCAAGUCGAACGGCAGCACAGUAAGAGCUUGCUCUUACGGGUGGCGAGUGGCGGACGGGUGAGGAAUACAUCGGAAUCUACUUUUUCGUGGGGGAUAACGUAGGGAAACUUACGCUAAUACCGCAUACGGCCUACGGGUGAAAGCAGGGGAUCUUCGGACCUUGCGCGAUUGAAUGAGCCGAUGUCGGAUUAGCUGGUUGGCGGGGUAAAGGCCCACCAAGGCGACGAUCCGUAGCUGGUCUGAGAGGAUGAUCAGCCACACUGGAACUGAGACACGGUCCAGACUCCUACGGGAGGCAGCAGUGGGGUAUAUUGGACAAUGGGCGCAAGCCUGAUCCAGCCAUACCGCGUGGGUGAAGAAGGCCUUCGGGUUGUAAAGCCCUUUUGUUGGGAAAGAAAAGCAGCAGGUUAAUACCCCGCUGUUCUGACGGUACCCAAAGAAUAAGCACCGGCUAACUUCGUG
Molecule: ribosomal RNA, 492 nt
Filed under: uncultured bacterium
Lineage: Bacteria
Description: partial 16S ribosomal RNA
Rfam family: Bacterial small subunit ribosomal RNA
Source: RNAcentral